UAAGCGCCGGUAAGGUGAUAUGAACCGUUAUAACCGGCGAUACCCGAAUGGGGAAACCCAGUGUGACUCGUCACACUAUCAUUAACUGAAUCCAUAGGUUAAUGAGGCGAACCGGGGGAACUGAAACAUCUAAGUACCCCGAGGAAAAGAAAUCAACCGAGAUUCCCCCAGUAGCGGCGAGCGAACGGGGAGGAGCCCAGAGCCUGAAUCAGCAUGUGUGUUAGUGGAAGCGUCUGGAAAGGCGCGCGAUACAGGGUGACAGCCCCGUACACAAAAGCGCAUGUGCUGUGAGCUCGAUGAGUAGGGCGGGACACGUGGUAUCCUGUCUGAAUAUGGGGGGACCAUCCUCCAAGGCUAAAUACUCCUGACUGACCGAUAGUGAACCAGUACCGUGAGGGAAAGGCGAAAAGAACCCCGGCGAGGGGAGUGAAAAAGAACCUGAAACCGUGUACGUACAAGCAGUGGGAGCACAGGUUUACCUGUGUGACUGCGUACCUUUUGUAUAAUGGGUCAGCGACUUAUAUUCUGUAGCAAGGUUAACCGUAUAGGGGAGCCGUAGGGAAACCGAGUCUUAACCGGGCGUUAAGUUGCAGGGUAUAGACCCGAAACCCGGUGAUCUAGCCAUGGGCAGGUUGAAGGUUGGGUAACACUAACUGGAGGACCGAACCGACUAAUGUUGAAAAAUUAGCGGAUGACCUGUGGCUGGGGGUGAAAGGCCAAUCAAACCGGGAGAUAGCUGGUUCUCCCCGAAAGCUAUUUAGGUAGCGCCUCGUGAAUUCAUCUCCGGGGGUAGAGCACUGUUUCGGCUAGGGGGCCAUCCCGGCUUACCAACCCGAUGCAAACUGCGAAUACCGGAGAAUGUUAUCACGGGAGACACACGGCGGGUGCUAACGUCCGUCGUGAAGAGGGAAACAACCCAGACCGCCAGCUAAGGUCCCAAAGUCAUGGUUAAGUGGGAAACGAUGUGGGAAGGCCCAGACAGCCAGGAUGUUGGCUUAGAAGCAGCCAUCAUUUAAAGAAAGCGUAAUAGCUCACUGGUCGAGUCGGCCUGCGCGGAAGAUGUAACGGGGCUAAACCAU
Molecule: ribosomal RNA, 1079 nt
Filed under: Salmonella enterica
Lineage: Bacteria; Pseudomonadati; Pseudomonadota; Gammaproteobacteria; Enterobacterales; Enterobacteriaceae
Description: partial 23S ribosomal RNA
Rfam family: Bacterial large subunit ribosomal RNA
Source: RNAcentral